This 460-nucleotide ribosomal RNA is filed under the name uncultured bacterium. RNAcentral describes it as "partial 16S ribosomal RNA". It matches the Rfam family "Bacterial small subunit ribosomal RNA", at positions 338 to 795 of the family's 1533-position model. The record is from RNAcentral.
CCUACGGGGCGCAGCAGUGAGGAAUAUUGGUCAAUGGACGAGAGUCUGAACCAGCCAAGUAGCGUGAAGGAUGACUACCCUAUGGGUUGUAAACUUCUUUUAUAUGGGAAUAAAACGUUCCACGUGUGGGAUUUUGUAUGUACCAUAUGAAUAAGGAUCGGCUAACUCCGUGCCAGCAGCCGCGGUAAUACGGAGGAUCCGAGCGUUAUCCGGAUUUAUUGGGUUUAAAGGGAGCGUAGGUGGAUUGUUAAGUCAGUUGUGAAAGUUUGCGGCUCAACCGUAAAAUUGCAGUUGAAACUGGCAGUCUUGAGUACAGUAGAGGUGGGCGGAAUUCGUGGUGUAGCGGUGAAAUGCUUAGAUAUCACGAAGAACUCCGAUUGCGAAGGCAGUUCACUGGACUGCAACUGACACUGAGGCUCGAAAGUGUGGGUAUCAAACAGGAUUAGAUACCCGUGUAGUC